This 32399-nucleotide long non-coding RNA is filed under the name Triticum aestivum (bread wheat). Its description in RNAcentral is "long non-coding RNA (TAES_LNC028542)". Lineage: Eukaryota; Viridiplantae; Streptophyta; Magnoliopsida; Poales; Poaceae. The record is from RNAcentral.
GUUUUUCAGUCAGUGUCUUGGUGCUGCAUUCUUGAGUGUGUGUGUGUGUUGCUGGUGUCUCAUGUUCAACAUCUUGUUGUCAGAUUGGUUGCCCCGUCUCAGGGCAGUCCUCAUUGUCAUUGGCGGUUUUCUUUGUAACAUAGUAGCUCUUCGACUGAGAAAAGAAUUGUGUGGAUUUUGUUCUUUCAACCUGUGAAAAAAGUUACCAGUGUUCUUGGCUUCUCGUUGUUGAUUUGCUAUAGUGUCACCUCAAACAAGCUCAAGUCAGUGCUUCAUGCUGAAACAUCUUAGUACAAGUUUAGGGCUUCAUGAUGAAGUAGACCGGUUAAGGUCUGAUGCUUUGGGUUACUGACAAGAAAACAUUAGUAGUGAAUAAGUAGGCAAAUCCGGGUUUAAAUUACUGUACUGUGAUAUGUUUGUGCACUCACAAAAACAUAGGGUCCUAGUGCUACUUGAAUAGCUCAUGGUAAGCAUGGCGACAUACAAAAUGCAAUUUCCCAACAUGCUUAAACAAUGAUCAAAUGUUGUUUCAUCAGAAGAUGGCAAUCGCCAAGACCAAGAACACUGACCUAGAUUAUUCCUGUUCACCCAUAGAAAAGUAUGGCCCUGCUUGAACAGCUCAUGGCAAGCAUGGCAAAAUAGAAAUUUCUGUCUUCAGAAAUCAUCAAGACCAAGAACACCACUGCAGCAGACCGUGGCAAGCAUGCACCUAUCAUGGUUUGAGAAAUGUUUGAUGCCCUGCAGAUGACAUUUUUAACUGCUACUAAACCAGUUGCCGGGCCUUAAAUGCCCACAGGAUAGAUUCCGUAAACUGACACGGUUAACCUUGUUUGACCUCCUCGGACGAAGAAGAUAGUUGUCCUGGAGGACAGACAACAUUAGCAGUAAGUAGUACAUAAUGUAGGUCAAAGAACAUUGUUGGCCCAGAAAACAAAGGCCCUAGUGAUCUAUGCACCAUAUGCUAGUAUUAGUAGCUCUUCAUUAACCUAAUCAUUAACCCCAAAAAAUGAUGCAAUGUGCUUUAAGCAGCUCCACACAAUCUCUUUUUUUCCUUUUUGUUUACCAGCACUGAAAGAAGGAAGACAGAAGAGCAGCUCACUGUCAGAGAGAAAUGCAUCAUGUCACUUUGCUAAUAGCAAAGUUUUUGAAAUGCUGGGGGCUAUCAUUUGUUGGUUAGAAGUGCAAAGUGGUGGCCCUUUUGGCACUGCUUCCACGCUGGCCCUGCCUGAACCUCCCUAUUGGCUGUUGCCACAAUCAUGCUGACUGGAUCCGGACGGACAGGAAAAUUUAGUUCUCGGAGUGGUGCUGGUUUGAAUCCCCCACUAGGGCACACUGAAAGUGCAUUGAUUGUGCUCGAUGACGACGCAGGGUUUCAGGACCAGCCACGUUCUUGGCGUCCCGUUCAGGUUCAGUCAAUCAAUGAGUGCGUCCGCUGCUUCAGCCUUGAGACAUGCCGCCUGGAUUGCAGCACGGAGGCAAAAGUUUUUGCUGAGCAAUGGUAAGUGUAGUAGUAGUAGUAGAUCAGCAAGAUGACAUACAUAUAGUCAACAACAAUCUUACGAAAUGUACUACUCGUGCAGCGGCAAAAGUGAACUCGUCACCAAAAUCAUCUUUUUUUUAUGUACUCGUUGACAUGUAGAGAACUUUAUCCGGCUGGUACAUCUUCUUCUGUCGCGGUAAAUUAUAGAGAACGUAAAGCACAAAUGCACGAUGUACAGAGUUCGGUAAGUUUUUGAAACUUGUUUCCGUUUGAAGAUGGCAUUGGCAUUGGCAGCAGUGUUUCCUCUGGGCGUCAGGAUGGCUGUGGCAGACGCAGUAAACACGCUAGGAGGGGCAGCGAAUGAGUCGAUGCUGCCACUGUAGGGAGCUCCAGGACGAAGGCUCCUCCUAUUAACCCAUCCUCAACUACGAGGCAACAGCUGACCGGUGGGGCCAACACUGAUGGUCUGAAGCAUUGCUGCCUGCCUGCAUCGAAAUCCAACUUACCGAGGCGGAAGGCACGUAGCAGUGCUCUCCUUUGGUACUUGCCGCCUGAUUAAACACAACUAUGCUAAGCAGUGGAGUGGUGCUGGUACAGUGCACAAAGCUGAGCCGGCCGCCGGAUCUUGCAACUUUUCAUGCCUGCCAGUGUCAACCCUAAAAGCAUCUUAUACGUACAAUAAACUGCGUCUUAAAUUGUCUUUGCACAGACAGCAAAAGGCUGAGAUCAGCAUCGACUCUUCGUUAAGUUGGGUAUAAGCCGUCCAUAAACCACAAAUGAACUGAAAAAUGUGAGUAGUUACUAGUUCUAGUUCUUUCCUCUAACCCUUGAAGCACAAAUAAUCCAGACGUACCUUGGGAAAUCACGUCACACACUCUAUAUGCACUUUUCGUCAUUCCGUGUGGUUUUGUGCAUUCAAAAAUGGCUUCCAGUGACGUGAGACCCCAUGCAUUUGCCCAUCAUCAUGGUUUUAGAUAGGGAUGCAACUUUUCGACCCUCACAUUCUUCUUAAUUCAACCAAAAUGAACCAAAUUUCCACAAGUCCGGGAAUCAUCAUCACUGUAAAAUUUUAGUUCAUUUAUUUGACGAGCUACUACAGGGAAUCCGGUGUCAUUCAAAAGAGCAUCCAACACUGCGUUCUUCACGCAGUCACAUAAAUACAAAGCCACACGGUAAACAUUGUAAGGGCCGAAGGCUUAAAAGGUUUGCUCCCUUGCGGACACAGGGUAACUAUUAACUGAAAGUAAGAAAUAAAGGUAAAUAUAGCCUGACCAUGUUUGGUACCAUAAAACAUGCUCCAAACACAUGAGGUGGCAGAGAAUAUAACAAAUACUUGGAUUAGUGCAUAAUCAAAUGCCUAAGAUGCUAUUGUGUUCCUAACAACGGCGAAAGCAAUAAGUCAAACCACCUCAAAACAGUACAUCAGUGUGAAUUUGCUUGCGCUGCCUUCUGGAAACCUAGAUCAUCCACAUGGCACGGAAUCAUCGCUUCCGUGACUGUGGGUACUGUACAGCUAAACCUAGUUCAUAGAAAUGCUCACCCCUUUCUCCCAGAAAGAUAAAAGACCGACUUGAUUCUAGUUUGGCAGCAACCAGUCAAAUUCAUGGCUAGUGGGGUUCACAACUUCAGGCGAGCAUGGUUAGAUCUUCAUUCCUUAUCACCUGAUUCUGAGAGUCAAAAAUCAAUGAUCUACAAGAACUCGUCAUAAUAACGGCUGGCAUAGCAAACGUACAAAUUUUCAGUCGACGUUUAUACCUGCUUGCUCGGUUGUUCCAUUUUGACUGUUGUUUGGAACAUCCUUCACGGUAGAAGAUUCUGGGGGGUCAGAAGAUAACUUUGGUCCUUCUGCCGAGGUUGAAGCAUCCAGCGCCUUGUCUGCAGCAGGAUUGCAUUGCUGCUCGAUCAUAAUCUGAAGGCACUUCCCUUGCUCCUCGAUUCUCAGCUGCAGACUUCUUUGCACCUGCGGUGCAAGCAAGGAUGGAACCAAAGUAAGGUUAAAGUUAUAAAAGGUAUUUCACACGUUACUGCCUGGUUCCUAGAGAAUUGGUGCGCUGUUAAAUGGCUUAUAUUCAACUCAGAAGUGGUAAUCGGCCGUUUACAGACCCAAAAUGUUAACUCUAAUUUUAAUUUGACAUGUAAAAAUGCAUUUAAUUUCCUACGAUGCAUAACUAAAGAUUAAAUCAAAUUCUGGGUGAAAAAUUCCAGACCCCAGAGGGAUUUCGACAAAGUGUUCCCACGACAGAACGAAAUCAUGUUCGCAGCUCAAUACUACUCUAUGGUCUAUGCAAGCAUGGGAGUGACCUGGUAAGAAUCUCAGAGAACAUAGGCACAACACAAAGCAGACAAGUUCCAAAAAAAAAAAAACAGGAUUGACCUGUAUCAUCUGUGCACACAGAUAAAAAGAACAUGCUCUGAUCCACUCUGUCCAUGUGACUAUGUGAGUGGCAAAUUUCACUUCAAUGCUGGCCUGACUUUCUUCUUGUGAUCCAAACACUACCACAUCCUAGCCACUAAUGAGACUCAGGAUUUGGGUUCUAAAAGAAUUGGGAACAAGAAUUAAGCUCAGCAUUUUGCUGUUUUUAUUAAAAUGUGUACAUGUACUAAAACUACUGACCUAUCUAUGGCUUUGACACUCUAGUGCCCUAGGCUCAGUAGGAAGCUAUCUAAGUGCCUAGAUGAAGAGACUACCUACAAAGCUAACGUUUGUAGCAAUGUUUACCAGAAGGGCGUUGAACAAAAUUCGAUGACACUGGAAGCUCACUAAUAAUAUUCGAAAACGAGACCCCUAAGAAUAUUUAGGAAAGAUGGAAAUCCAUAACGAAAAUGAUAAAUAGGCAUAGCAAAACAUGUAUGAAACUACCAAAGGAGAAACCCGAUUUAAAGUAGCAGGCACAUUAUGGCAUUAACCAUUCUCACUGAUGUGAAUGAAUUAAACAAAGUCAUUUGGGUAAGCUCUAAGGCUAACACAUUUUUCGUUAGUUAAACAGACCUUUAUUCCACCCAGCUGCUGAGGCCCUUGCAUAAUGUGAUAGUGACAGCAAACACAAAAGUUUUCAUAGUUUGUCCAGUAACAUAGAAACCGUGGACGGGGAGUGGCAAUUUAGCUACUUAGUGCUUAAUGGCAUCUCGUAUAGUCAUGUUUAGCCUCUCACUAUGCACCACCUCUUUGUGGGACCCAAACCGACACAAGAAGUAGGGAAACCCCUCACGUGACUCACCACUGUUCUAUCCUGCCUUUGCAUCUCUUACAAAUCCUCAUCGCCUCAGACACCAAAGCCACCGGAUUAGCCACCACCAUCGCUUGAUUUGCCAACGGUGACAGCAGUGAGUUCCUUAAAGCGGUAGCGUCGGUAAGAUGGAGACGGAGCACGGAGGUGACAACAAUUCUGACCAAGAGGAUCCCACAGGAGGCAGGAGGGGGAUAUCAAGGUAGCGCAAAUUCCGGAGUAAGCUGCAGCACAGGCAGCGAGCUACCCCAAUGUUGGCACCGACAGACUGGUGGAGGUGUUGAUGUUGAAAACACAGUUGGUAGAGAAGCUGGAUAGGCGUCUAUGACUCCAAGCAGAGAGACUGGGCCGAAAGGAGAGCCAUUUAUGAUCUCUUUUUAUUGAGUCGGACUCGAUUCCAGUUUUUGUUGGCCCCGUCAAACGGCAAGAUACAAGUAUGCCCAAACUCCAAAGUUUCAUCACCCAAAGAAUUUAACAUGGUACAAUAUUUACCGCAGAAUGGCAAUUGUGAUGUAUUGUCACAAACUAAGAGUGGCAAAGGUGAAACGUCAAAUUCUAGAGUGGCAUAAGCAAAGUGGUCAAAAGCUAGAGUGGCAAAAACAAAGUUUUCCCAAAAAAGAAAUUACCCACCUCUAAUUAAACCAGACAUUAUUUUUGUUGUCUUUACAAUAUGUUUGUACAUAUAUGUAGCCCAAAGAAUCUGCUAAGUUUUUUUAAGUCUAUUUGAUUACUUUAGCUAAUCCGGUUGACAUCUUUUUUUUGGACAAUGGCAUUACUUCUCUUAUCAUCAACAAAAUUAGAACUGAAACAGUCUAGCAGGAGAGUACUUUCACACUUCUAACAAAUACUACAUCCCAAAAUAAGUGUCAUGUUUUAGUUCAAAUUAGUGUCAUGGUUUUAGUUCAAAUUUGAACUAAAACCAUGACACUUAUUUUGGGAAGGAGGGAGUAAUAAAUUUCAGAUUGAAAAUUUCCGAAUUUAGACAAUAUCAAUUUGCUAGGUAAAACAUAAUGACGGGGAACUACAAUAACUUGUGUUACUACCACUCCAAGUUAUACCAAUACAUCCCAUUACAGAAAAAAAAUUAGAACCUUUUUAACUAAUGCCACUGCUAAUCGCUUAUUAGAUGUGCUGAAGAGUUUCGCUCAAAAAAGAUGUUAAAGAGUUGAAUGUACAAUUAAUAAGGCCAUGUCAAAAGCUAAGACAUUAACUCAUCUCUACUUCUAUGCUAAUAAAGAUGAAAGGACAGUACUCGGACAGAGGGUAGUACUUUAUUGUUGCUUGCUUAUCUUAUUCCAAAGUGGAACUAACUACAAGCAUGUCAAGUAUCAAAAUCCCAGAAAUCCAUAGGCAAUGAGAUUUUUAACUGACCCUCAGCAGAAGAUACCUAAAUCAUGAUAGAGCUAUUUGGUACAUACCUCAAGCUGUUCAUGGAGCCGCUUUUGAAGUUCUAACUGGAGACGCAAUGCUUCAGUGAGAUCAAAAUUCCUGCAGGGAUAUAAGAACUAAUGCUCAAAAUCCAGUAGGAACAACUAUAUAAUUUGUGGAUAGAUGCCAAUCAGCUUGGCGAAAAUAGUAGGCCGUUCCAUGUAUACAAUCAGAAUUCAGCAAGAAGGUAUGCAGUAAAAAAGGCUAGCAAUUGGAAGAUAAAGUUUAAAGGCCAAAUACAUGUCACAGGAAGAAACCACAGAUAUAACACGGUCAUCCGAGAAGCAAUAUGACUAUAUGAGAGCAUGAAUAUUUGUUAAUGAAUCGACUUUAAUACGAUUUCAGCACGGAAUAUAGUGUUGUAAACUUGUUAUUCAUAGUGAUGGCCUAUCCGGAGAACCAGUAGUACUGCUCAACCGAACGACAUCUAUGUUACUGCAAACUGUUUGCUCUUUUUUCUUGCAAACAACUUCUUUAUUAUCCUGAAUCACUGGGUCAAUUUUACUGAUAGUAUGAUGGGAAACAAGUUUCCAGUUCAGAAAUAUAUGUAAAUGAAAAUGCAGGAAAGUAUUCAGUUUUCUCAUCAUACGUGACAUCAGUAUCAUCAAUAUAAGUUAAUUGAAUUUCACAUAGGCUGCAAACUUACCCUUUAAGGUCUAUAGAUGGCAACUCCUCUUUUGAGGCCUCCAACCUUUCUGAUGAACCUGAAAAUCUCAAAUUGAUGAACAUGGUAGAGUAUUUGAAGAGACUGCUGCAGGGAAUAUACAGAAAAUAGAGCAUAUGGAAAAUGGAAAAAGAUAUACCUUCAGAUAAUUCUGGUCUAUAUCGGGCAGUUCUGUACUUCUGCAAAUAAAAAGUUAAGUAAAAUCAAAUCGUUAAUUGUGGCUUGUCUCAAUUAUACCCAGCAAUAGCAGCCGACCAACAGACCUGAAGAUGACUUUUUACAUGAUAAAUGGUCAAAUUAUCUGCCUUCAUUAGCUUUAGCACGCCCUUUGGAGUAGCUUCUGCAAUAAUCUCAAACAAAUGUCAGAACUCAUAUGUUCUACAAAUGGAGAAAAAAAAUCUCUUCAAACAAUACAUACUUUCACUGCCACCAAGCAGAUUGACAGCGUCCACGAAACGCUCAUGAAGUUCAGGAGUCCACCUCAUGCGUGUCUUGGAGGUGUUGGAGCUGGCAGAGGGUGAGGGUGCAGCAACUACAGAUGAUUCUAUAGGUUGAGUUGUAACUAUUUGCUGGAGGGCUGAUUGGUGAACUGAAGUUGUACCAACUUGCUGGCUGGCUGAUUGAUCAACUGAAAUCGAUGAUUGCACAGGCGGUCCAGCCUGUGCGAAAGCAUGUGUCAACACUUAAUAUCAUGUUUAAAUAUGUACAAGAGUAACACUAAUUUUUUUGCUAAACUAUAUAGCAUGCUGCAGUUAGGGAUGCCAACAAAAGAUAAAACCCAGCCAAAGAUAAGCUUGAAUUCAAGCUCGGCUGGAAUCUGGCUGUGCCUAAAAUGCGCUAAGCAUAUGGCUAGUUUCAACCUGGAAUAAAAUUUGGGAUCACACUGGGCUUAAGCAGGUUUGGCUUAUACAAAUUUCAAAUGUAUAAUAUCGUUUCAAAGAAGGAGCCACGACAGCAACCAAGCCUGAUCAAAACACAGAACUUGUCCAUAUUUAUCCUUCAGUUCAGUUCACACAACUAGCAUGCUCUAAACCAAUCUCAAGCUUUAUACGACCUUGACAUCUUAUUGAUUUUACUACGGUUGUAUACUUGCAUAGUUCAUUCGUUAAAGAAGAGCAGAUGUUACAUCUCAAGUCAACCCACCAAAAUAGCAGAAUCAGCCAGUAUACCUGUGUAUGAGUUUUAGCAGCACCUGCGUUGUCAGCAAUGUCCUUCCAGUCGUCAUUCAUAAAAUCGGUCCACCAUUCAGUCUGCUUAGCGAGCUCAUCUGUAGCUGCAAUAGGACUGAUGCCAGUCAAAUUGUUUCCAACAGGGACAUCAUCGGAGAAUCCAAGCAUGCUCUCAACUGGAUCAGGGCACCACGUUGGUCCAACAUCUCUUGGAAAAUCAUUAAAAGUAGGUUCGAAGCCUUCAUGGUGUGAUCCAUAAACCAUCGCUGAAGAACUUCCAGUGCUUGGCGUCUGAGAAAUGUAAGGAUUGGCACCGUUGUAUUGCUCAGGGUUCGGAACUGAAGAGAAUCUUACAGCCGGGGGCGAACGCAGAGGCCCGACAGAUCCAGUACUGGGGUGAAACUGCCCGCAAAUAGGAGCAACAGUACUUUGAUGAGGCGGGAGAGGGGUUCUUCUCAGUUCCCUCUCCAGCAAAACAUUCUGCGCAUCUGGAAGCCUUGUAAAGCUUUCAUCCAUGGUGGUUGAAGGCAGAGGUGAUGGCACAGUUACUGGGAUUCCAGAGGUAUAGAACGGGUUGGUGGUUAUCCUCUCCAUCUACAAGCACGUGCAAUGCUCUGAGUCCACUAACAAAGUCCUCCCCUACUCUGCUCGUGAGACCUUUCUUGGCUUCUGAAAUUUUUCUCCCCUCCUAGGGCUGACGCACCUGCAAUAAGGAAACAUUUUAACCAUCAGUACGAGAAACAAAUUUGAGCGGGAAACGAAUGAAUCAUCACAUCAUGUUUGACAAAAUUCAAGAUAUCAUAUAACCCGAAGUCCCAAUCGAAUCCUCCUAGCAAACAAAAAUUGCAGCGCGUGCCCAAUACCAGUACAAUCAUGCGGGUCUAAUAGCCCCUCCCAGGGGCGGAUCUAGAUGGUGUGCCGAAAUUAGUGGAGGUCAGGGGGGUUAGCUCAUACCUCAGAAGCCAAUGGCCAAAAUUGCCGACGGGGCUGAGACAGCAUGGAUGCGCCGAGGAUGACCAGGGAACGGCGACGGCGGCGACGCGCGUGAGGGAGGGGGCGGAGGCGCCGCGGAAGAGAGGUAGGGCACGGCAGCAGCUCUUGAGCCCGGAUUGGGGUAGGUGGACGGAAGACGAAAGGUACGCGACGGCGGAGAGGAAACCGUGGGGUUGGAUUUGGGGGAUUUUAUUUUUCCCUAGAUCCGAUUCGAGGGAUUUUGACUCCCGGAGGGCAGAUUUGAUUAAACAAAAACAAACUAUGUACUGUUUUUUCCCCGGGUCACUCCUGCCAUCAUGUUUUAAACUAGGAAAAUGUUUUAAUUUAAACGGAUGAUUUCUCAUUUCUGCAAACUGACUCGAGGGGUUGACACGUGUCUGGUGGGACCGAUGCACUGCCCGUCCCGCAAACCUUAUCUUCUUCCAAGACCGGGUUGUCCUCAUUCUGUGGGCAUUCCCGAUCUCAUCUCUCCCUAUUCCCCACUGCAGCCUAGCGCUCUUCUCCCCCCGAGCGCCUCCCCGUUGUCCCUGACCUCUCCCAUCCUGGUCGGCGGAGCUACUGCUGUUAUGAAGGGGGCACCAUUGCGCUGCGAAGGCUACCGUUUGACGCGAGUGACCAUGAAGUCGCUGCUGCAAAGGGGCGACAAUGCUCAUGGUGUGGGCGGUGAUGCGCGGUCCCGAGGGGGCUGCGUUGCAGCGAGCCACCGAUGUUGCAGCCAUCGGCGAUGACACAAGGUGGCACCGCUCGCCGCACAUGUUGCAAUCGGGAGGCUGGGGAGAGGAGAUGCGCAACAUCAAACAACUCACGCGCGACGGUGUUGUGCUGCAGGCUGGACGGCGGGCAGCAGUAGAUGGUGAUGUUGCAAACCACCCCGUCAUGGCAGCCGAGGUUGUUGCAGGGGAGGGAAGAGUUGCAUCCUGACGAUCUGCAAUAGGGUCGUAAGGGCGUUGUCGCAACAGAGGAGGUCGUCGGCGCUCUACCUGUGCUUCAAGUGAGUGGUGGGUGCUGCAGAUGGGGGCUCGCCGGCGCUGCGAUGAAGCAUUGUAGGGCCGGAACGACAAUGAAGCGACGCGGGGUCGUUGAAGCUUCGUCAUAGUUGAAAUGAAGCGCCGCCAGAGUUGCAAUGGAGCGUCGCGAGGGUCGUUGAAGCUUCGUCGAGGUUGCAUGAAGAGCCAUCUAUGUUGUCAUUGAGCGUCGCUCAGUGUUGUCGAUGCUGCCAUUGAGCUGUUGCGUGCUGCUGCUAUGGUGAUACGCCUCCAACAUAUCUAUAAUUAUGAAGUAUCCAUGUCAUGUUUACAAUAAUUUUAUAUGGUUUUUGUAUGAUUUGAAUGUAGCUAACCCGGACUAACGUUGUUUUCAGCAGAACUACCGUGGUGUCAUUUUUUAUGCAGAAAUAAAAGUUCUCGGAAUAGGCUAAAAAUUUACGGUGAUUUUUUUUACCAAAAGAGACCCCCGAAGCUUCGAGGAAGGACCAGAAGCCUCACGAGGAAGCAACAAGCCUGGGGGGCGCGCCCUCCCCCAUGGGCGCGUGGAGCAGGCUUGUCGCUCCCUCGUGGGCCCACUUGACGUGAGAGCGACGCCAAAAAUUCCUAUAAAUACCAAAACCCUCAUAAAGAACCCUAAGUUUUGCCGCCGCAAGCCUCUGUAUCCACGAAAACUCAAUGGGGGCCCUGUUCCGGCACCCUCCUAUAAAUACCCAAAACCUUAGAAAGAACCGUACAUGAGAAGUUUUGCCGCCGCAAGCCUCUGUAUCCACGAAAACUCAAUGGGGGCCCUGUUCCGACACCCUGCCGGAGGGGAAAAUCAUCGCCAAAGGCCAUUUUCAUCAUCCCGGCGGUCUCCAUGACGAGGAGGGAGUAGUUCACCCUCGGGGCUGAGGGUAUGUACCAGUAGCUAUGUGUUUGAUCUCUCUCUCGUGUUCUUGAUUUGGCAUGAUCUUGAUGUACCGCGAGCUUUGUUAAUAUAGUUGGAUCGUAUUGUGUUUCUCCCUCUCUACCUUGUUGUGACGAAUUGAGUUUUUACCUUUGAGAUUUCACUAUUAUCGGAUUGAGUACUUGUUGGAUUUGAGAACACUUGAUGUAUGUCUUGCAUAUGAAUGCCUGUGGUGAUAAUGGGGUAUUAUAUUGAUUCACUUGAUGUAAGUUUUGGCACUCAACUCGCGGAUACCCGAUGUGACAUGUGGUAAUCUAUGCAUAGGGUUGAUGCACGUUUUCAUCUACUCUCUCCGGCAGAAACCUUGGGGCACUCUUUGAAGUUAUUUGUGUUGGAUUGAAUAUUAUGAAUCUGAAGUUACUUGAUGGAUAUCGAAUAAUCAACUCACGGAUACUUGUGGUGACAUUAGAGUUGGUUGAUGUGUAUCAUAUGGUAUUAUUUUAGUACGAACUCUAGGGUUGUUUGUGACACUUAUAGGAAUAGCUCAAUAGAUUGAUCGGAAAGGAUAAUUUUGAGGUGAUUUCAUACCCUACAAAGAAUUUUGUCUUAUGUUCUCUGCUAGCUAAGAACUUUGGAGUAACUCUUUAUCGCACGUUGAGGGAUUGUUAUAUGAUUCAAUUAUGUUAGCAUUAUUGAGAGAUUGCACUAGUGAAAGUAUGAACCCUAGGCCUUGUUUUUAAACAUUGCAAUACCGUUUGUGCUCCGUUUUAUCAUUUGCUACUUUGUUGUUUUUAUAUUUUCAGAUUACAAAAACCUAUAUCUACUAUCGAUACUACACUUGUAUCACCAUCUCUUCGCCAAACUAGUGUACCUAUACAAUUUAGCAUUGUAUUGGGUGUGUUGCGGACAUAAGAGAUUUCUUGUAUUUGAUUGCAAGGUUUGAGAGAGACCAUCUUUAUCCUACGCGCUCCCACGGAUUGAUAAACUUUAGGUCAUCCACUUGAGGUAAAAUUGCUAUUGUCCUACACAACUCUAUGGUUGGAGGCCCAACACGAGUCUACAAGAGUAAGUUGCGUAGUAGACAUCACAUGGCAGCUGCCUGAUCCUAUGGUUGCGGAGCGUCUGAUCGGACGAUGACGACUAAGAUUUGGCUAAAGCUGUCUAGCUAAUUUGUAGCAGACGCCUUUAAACUAUGGUACUAUAUAUAUUCAUAUACAAUCAUUGUAUAUUUUUCACGGGAAUAUAAUGUGUAGUAUAUUAUUUCAUAUCGCAAUCCCCGAUUAAGGAGAGAAAAAAGUUGCCUCGAAACAUUUAUAUGAAUUAUUUGUUUCGGCCAAUGAAAUAUUGCCUUAUUGCAAUAUUUUCUACUGGUGGCAAUUACACUAGAGCAACUCCAACAAUGCUCGCGUGCAGGUAAACCACACGCUUCAGAAAGGCGGUGAUGGGUGGGGUCCGAUUGUUGGGGAAUGUUGCAUGGAAAACAAGAAAUUUCUACAUACACGCAAGAUCUAUCUAUGGAGAAGCAUAGCUACGAGAAAGGGGAGAGCAUCUACAUACCCUUGUAGAUCGCUAAGCGGAAGCGUUUAUCAACGCGGUUGAUGUAGUCGUACACCUUCACAAUCCGUCCCGAUCAAGUACCGAACGUACGACACCUCCGCGUUUAGCACACGUUCAGCUCGAUGACGUCCUCGCCUUCUCGAUCCAGCAAGAGAGGCAAAGUAGUAGAUGAGUUCCGGCAGCACGACGGCAUGCUGACGGUGGUGGUGGAACUAUCCGCAGGGCUUCACCAAGCACAACGGACGUGGACGGAGGAGGAACUAGAACUAGAGGGAGAUGGGGCGCCGCACACGGCUUGGGGAUCGUGGUGUCUGUUGCCCCUCUCCCUCCUCUCAUAUAUAUAGGUGUGGGAGGGGAGGCAGCCUAGGUGCCCCCAAGAGGGCCGGUGGCCACCCUGGGCUCCUGCCCUGGCCGCGUCCCCUCCUUCUGUGGCGCCUGGGGGAGAAGGCAGAAGGGGAGGCGCCCCCCCCCUUUCCUUUCUCUCAUGUGGAGGGGAAGGCAAGAGGGGCCAGUCCUCCCCUUUCCUUCCCUAGGGCCGGUGGCCUAGAGGUGGGGCGCACUAGCCCCUUGUGGGCUGGUGUGCUUCCCUUGUUGGCCCAAUAAGCCCAAUAACUCCCCGUGGCCAUCCCGGAACCCCUUCUAGAGUUCCGGUGAUCUUAUAAUUACUCGGUGCAUUCUGAAACCUUUUCGGAGACCAAAUAGCAUCGUCCUAUAUAUCAAUAUUUACCUCCAGACCAUUCCGGAGCUCCUCGUCAUGUAUGUGAUCUCAUCCGGGACUCCAAAUAACAUUCGGUCACUAUUUCACAUAACUCAUAUAAUACUAUAUCGUCAACGAACGUUAAGAGUGCGGACCCUAUGGGUUCGAGAAUGAUGUAGACAUGACCGAGACGCCUCUCUUGUCAAUAACCAAUAGUGGGACCUGGAUGCCCAUAUUGGUUCCUACAUAUUCUACGAAGAUAUUUAUCGUUCGAACCUUUAUGACAACAUACGUAGUUCCCUUUGUCUGUCGGUAUGUUACUUGCACGAGAUUCGAUCAUUAGUACCUCCAUACCUAGUUCAAUCUCGUUUCUGGCAAGUCUCUUUACUCGUUCCGUAAUACAUCAUCUCGUAACUAACUCCUUAGUCACUUUGCUUGCAAGCUUCUUGUGAUGUUGUAUUACUGAGAGGGCCCAGAGAUACCUCUCUAAUACACGGAGUGACAAAUCCCAAUCUCGAUCCAUGCCAACUCAACAGUCACCUUCGGAGAUACCUGUAGAGCAUCUUUAUGAUCACCUAGUUACGUUGUGACGUUUGAUAGCACACAACGUAUUCUUCCGGUAUCCGGGAGUUGCAUGAUCUCAUGGUCGAAGGAAUAUGUAUUGACACUAAGAAAGCAGUAGCAAUAAACUGAACGAUCAUAUGCUAAACUAACGGAUGGGUCUUGUGCAUCACAUCAUUCUCCUAAUGAUGUGGUCCCGUUAUCAAGCGACAACACAUGUCUAUGGUUAGGAAACCUUAACCAUCUAUUGAUCAAUGAGCUAUUCUAGUAGUGGCUUACUAGGGACAUGGUAUUUGUUUAUGUAUCCAUACAUGUAUUUAAGUUUCCGGUCAAUACAGUUCUAGCAUGAAUAAUAAACCUUUAUCAUGAUUAAGGAAAUAUAAUAAUAUGUGAUAUAUACCAAAUGUUCGUACCUAUACAAAAGGUCCGAACGAUCUCCACCUUCACGAGGCCGAGUGCGCGUAGCGCGCGAGGCCGAGCCGUCGAGCGGAGGCAAUCGUGAGGCCCAUCUUAGCGCCCCUCACGUGACCAUGGCCUACAACCAUCACGGACCACCUCCUCCCCCUAAACCCCAACUUUCUUACCCCUCCACGGCAAGAAAAGGCAACAAACACUCUCCAUCGACCCUCCUCUUCCUAUUCCUCUCUCCCUGGCGACGAACUCAACCAUUCGUCUCUGUCCCCUACCCACCCACCCCCACCCCCACCCCCAACCCCGAUUUGACCCAGCAAUUGCUUCACAAAACAUGCAAUACACUUGAGGAAACUGAAGUUACCACCGGAUCUCGACUUGAUCUACCACCGGGGACACCAGAACUUACCAAGCGUCCAGAAUCCAGCAAAUUCUUAACAAAAUCAUGCAUAAACGCUUGGGGGGUCAAGUUACCACCAGAUCUCGACUUGAUCUACCACCAGGGACACCAGAACUUACCAGGCAUCCAGAAUCCAGCAAGAAUCCAGGCGGAUCAGGUACAUCUAAGCACUCCCUACUGUAUCUGAAUUCAAUUUCAGUUCAACCCAAAAAGCCCCAUGAAAAAAGGAAGAAAAAAGUGCCAUUUUUUCCUAAUUUAUCGUACUAUGUGCAUAGAAGCUACCAACAUGAUAGAAUACAUGAGUUAUCAGGACAUAUGAAAGAUUUUUUUCUUGAAAAAGGACAACUCCUUUUCAACUUAUUGCACAAAAACAGUGAAAUUAGGCUACAAAAAACACUUGUUGUAUGUAAAAAAGGAAGUCACAACACCAUAACAGAAUCCACACUUAUUACAAUUAGGCUACAAUUAUUGUGUAGAGAAAGCUACCAUAUUUUUUUCAUACAAAGUUAUCAUCAGUAGUGUCAUCUGUUACCAUGCCAUCAUGGUGCAUCUAUGCAAAAAGUUACCAUAAAAAAACUUGAACUACUUUUUGAAGCAGGGAAUGGUGUGCCGAGUAGAGUAGAGUCCCGAAUGAGUAACAAAUUGUUACCUGCAGAAAAAAUGAUAAUAUCCAUGUCAAGUAAAAAAGAAUCACAAAAAAAAGUACAAAAAGAUAGCAUGCACCAUGUGCAAAAUGUGAUUGAUGUAUGUAAACAAUAGUGUUAUUUUCAGUUGUCUCACAUAUGCUAUUAACAUGUGUAAGCAGGUGCUUCAAUAACAUGUCGAAAAACCAUGGAUAUAACACAAAUGCCACAAAUAGUGCUGGACAAGAGAAACAACAUGAUGAUGAUGAUGCACGUACGACUAGCUUUGGUUCAGGUAAGUGGCAACUCACUUACAAAAGUGUCACACUAUAUGUUUACGUUGGAAGCAGAAUGUUAUCAUCACAUCAUAUACAAGUUACCACACAUGUUCAAUACAAGUUACCACCAAACAAUGAUAAAUCAUGUUAUGACAAAACAUUUCAUGUGAAAAACAUGCAGGUGCUCCACCUACAUCUAACCAGAGGAUCCAUGAGCCAAGCAAGGAAGCAAGUUCUAGAGUUGGGGGAGAAGAAAGGUUCUUUGAUGUGUCGGUCAGCGAGCCAGCAAGUCCAGAAACAGGAGCGUUGAACGCUGAUCAAGGAGGAGUUAACGUUGAGGCAUACUCCACACCUAAGGCUCCUGAUACAACAAUGAAGUUUGAAAGUUUUGAGGAGGCUGUUGCUCACUACGAGCUAUAUGCACUCAGAAAUGGAUUUGGGACAAGGAUAGAGUACAAAAGAACACUAAAGGACAACACAGUGAGCAGAGCACUCCUGGUGUGUGGGAAAGGCGGCAAGCCAAAGAAGAAGAAGGAGGAGGUGCAGGAUGUACUGAACCCAGAAGGCAUCAUGAAGAAGAGAAAAGGGCGUAAGGUUAAGAGGACUGAGUGUCCAGCCCACCUUUACCUUACGCACAAGGAUGCAUGGUGGGGAGUCGAACGCUUUGAUGACAACCACAACCAUCCACUAAUAAGAAAGCCAUAUCUGACAAAAUUUCUAGCCUCACAUCGGAACAUUCCCAAAGACGAGCAAGAUUUCUUACGGAUUCUACAUGAAUGCAACAUAGACACCGCAAGGCAAAUGCAACUAAUUUCAUGGUUCUAUGGUGAGGCUGAGAAUGUACCAUACACAACACAGGACCUUGCAAAUCAGCGAGCCAAAUUUUGCAAGGAGUACCAUAAUGCAGACGUGGGGAGCACAAUUGCAUACUUUGAGGAGCUCAGGGCAAAGGAUCCAGAUUUCUAUUGGAGAAUGAAACUUGAUGAUGAAGACAGGGUGGAAAACAUGUCCUGGAUAGAUGGUGCAUCACGUAGGGCAUACGCAAAAUACAACGACAUUGUGUCGUUUGACACAAAGUACAUGACUAAUAUGUACAAGAUGCCGUGUGCCCCCUUCAUUGGCAUUAACAACCAGGGGCAAUCAAUCCAAUUCGGUUGUGGUUUUGUUCGAAACGAACUGACUGACAACUUUGUGUGGCUGUUUAACACAUUCUUGCAUGCGAUGGGUGGGGUUGCACCAAAGAACAUAAUCACAGAUCAGGACUUUGCCAUGAGGAAUGCUAUUGUCGAGGUGUUCAUCGGGAUUGUACACAUAAAUUGCAGAUGGCACAUUAUGAAGAAAGCACAGGAGAAGCUUGGGAGGUUAAUGGCCGAUGAUCAACCACUGAACAAAGCAUUCAAAGAUUGUGUUGACAACAACUUGAAUGGUAUUGUAUUUUCACACAACACACUCCACUCAUAUUGCCGCAAACAACAUAAUUGUGCUGCGAUAUCCAAUGUUACCAUGCUGAAUUAUAAUAAAUUACCACCAACAUUACAUAUUUUUCCCACAUUGAUAAAAAUAAGGUUUCAUGUGAAAAACUGGACUGUUGUGAAAGAGUUACCAGUACUCAUGUUCUUAAGUGACCGUGACCACUUUAGCAUGUUUGCCAUGUAGUUAUAGUUCCCAAAAUCUGCAUCGACUACAACCACCUAGUGUUGAAUGAAUGAAGUUAUCAUGAUAAGUGCAUCAAAAGUUAUCAUGAUAUGUGUAGUUGAGUUACCAUCUCUUUCAUUUUUGCAUGGAGUGGAAGAGUUAUAUGAGAUUGGGUCACAUAUAACUAUGCAGUUGAGUUGUGUUAAAUAUAUCAUAACUAUGUGCAUUGGGGGAGUUCCCCAUUCUGCAUGAACCAGAACCACAUACUGUCCCCUGAAGCAAGUUAUCAUGUUAAGUGUAUUAGAAUUACCAUGAGGUGUGCACUGAAAUUACCAUCUACUUGGUUUUUGAACGCAGUUGAGGAGUUUGAGAAAAAAUGGUGGAAGAUGCUAGACGAUCAUGGGCAAACGGACAACGAGCAUUUCCACUGGCUGUGGGAAAACAGGGAAUGCUGGGUCCCGGUGUACUACAUGCACGACUUCUUCCCAUUCUUGCAGACAACGGCAAGGAGCGAGGGAUUCAACGCUGUGUUGAAGAAGUACGUCAACCCAAAUAACUCGCUAGUGGAAUUUGCAAAAUAGUACACUGCAAUACAGGAGAAGGUGAUGGUAAGCGUGUCAAAAGAGCACCUGGAAAUAGUGUACAAAGAGGUGGAAACAUACUCCUUCAACCCACUCGAGUUACAGGUGCAGGGCCUCUACACGCAUAAUCUUUUCACCAAAUUCUAGAUGGAGAUGAAGGUGAAAACUGGCUACAGAUGUGACACGUUGCAAGAUGGGUCAUUCAAGGUUGGCUCAGUCAGAGGAAUCAUACCAAAAUAUGGGGAUAGGGACUACCAUGUGCAAGCAAACAAGGAUGAAGGGACAUAUUCAUGCACUUGCUGCAAGUUUGAGCGAGAUGGUAUACCCUGCGCACAUGUGUUACGAGUGAUGGACCAAAUCGGGGUGUACGAGAUACCUGAGAAGUAUAUUCUAAAGAGGUGGACUUGGGAUCAAGAGGAAGAUCUAAUCAAACCUGAUUUUGAACAACCAACAGUUAGUAAGAGCAUGCCAGAGGAGGGAAAAAGCGUCAUGCGAUAUACAUCAAUGCUAAGGGAGUUCAAGGCAACAGCCAAGGAUGCUUGCCUCACAGAUGAUGGGGCCAGGGUGGCCAAGAAGCACCUAUAUGCUUUCAAGGAAGAAAUGGACGCGCUAACAAAAAGCCAACGUAAGAAGGCCAGAAAGGACAAGGAAGAAGCUAGAGGAUCGUUCUAAUCACAACAAGAUCCAUGUUCUAUUCCAGUGGUCACAACGAUUGAAGCUGUCCAUGCCGAAUAGCAAACAAGCAUACCUAACAUGGACAACCCAAACACAGGACAAACAAGCAUCCCUGUGACAAUACAAGCUAGCGCCAACAUGCCAGCCGCUGCAUCCCAUUCCUCGGACACAAAAACGAUACUAGACCCUCCGAAGACUGUCACGAAAGGACGGCCGAAAGCAAAGAAGCAUCAGCAUCCCUUUGACAUUGCAAAACCAGCAAAACAAAGAAAGUGCGGUGUCCGCGACAGCGUGCACCACGACAAGCGCAGGUGCACGUCACCUCUAGCAAGAUGAAUGAAAGAGAAAACAAGAUCGUCGCUACAAAUGAAUGGACAAGAAACUUAUCUUCAUUUGUUUUGCUGAUUGUUAUCAGUGCAAAAAUGUAAUCCGAAUUAUAGCACCUAUAUUUAUGUAAGUUAUCAGCACAUUGUGUGGGCUGAAGUUUUAAGUAUUUUGUGGUGAAAGUUAUCGUAAACAUAUUGGGUAAGUUAUUUGUGGACUAUCCUCAGUUUUCUAUAUGCUGUCAUUUCACUACAAUGAGUUUUCAACACUAUCUGCAAUCAAAAAAAGUUAUUCCACCUAAUUUUUUUGGAAACUAUCAGCUUGUAUUCAUACUAGUUAUCAGCAACACAAAAUGCAAGUUACCAGAUAAAUUGUGACCACAUUAUUUCAUGACCAAAAUAAAAUGAGAGAACAACUAGUUAUCAGACUAUUUAUAUAAGAAAAUAGCAGCCACGUAAGGUAUAAGUUACCGUCUGGUCCUGAAUUUCUUCUAUGUGUGAUGACAAGACACUAAAAAAUAACCAUUGUGCCAACAAAGAAAAUGCCAAACUACUUCUUUCGAGUAGUUAACAUCAAUUUAAGACCAACACUGAAAAUUGCUCUCACAAACGAAAAAAAGAAGAUGAUGACAGUUGAUACCUCACGAACUGUUGCCAAACAAAUGAUAGCGCCACUCUCUACACCUGUUUUGAGUGUGAUUUAGCCACCUCGAUGUCAAAAAAAUUCUGAGUGCCGGUACUUGCUCAUGGGUGAAGGUAGGAAUAAUUUUCCCAUUCCACAGCUCCAAAGACAUGAAAGCGAAGUAGCCACAAUCGGUGCUGAAAACAGAGAGUGUGUGUGAGUACAUAAAACAUGAUAUCGAACAAAUGGGGCUACAUCUAAAAUAGGGAACACAGAUAAACAACUAACCCGUUCUCUUGUUUAAAAACAUCAAUAUACACGAGUUCAUAAUCUUGAAUUUGCUUGUGCGAGUACUUGUAUGAAAUCAACCAAGCCUUCUUUAUAGCAUUCAUAUACCUAGUUGCGUGCUCAAUUAAAGAUGGACUAUCUUCUUCACGCAACGAAUCCAGCACCUCAAAUCGUUUCGCCUUAAGAUUCAGGGACAGUACAUACCAAUGACCGUCAUCUGGUCCCGGUCCCAACUUUUGCAGAGCAGGGAAUAGAAGCUACAAUAAUCAUAGCAGUAACAAAAAAUAGGAAGCCAUUUUUAAAUACAGGGAAAACAAGAUAAAGUUAUCAUGGCAGAAGACGCAAGUUACCAGAAACUGAGUGCUAAAGUUACCAUGCAAAACAAUCUAAGUUGUCAUACCACGGAAACUUAAUUAAAAAAUACAAGAAUAUGGAUGCUGAAGCUAACAUUAAAACACACAAAAAAUUAGGCAUUGGAUGCUCAAUUUACCAGCAAAAGUAAAUGAAUUAUCAUACCAGACUAUGUAUAAUGAAGUUAUCAUGAAAAAAAGGCACUGUAAAAAUAAAAAAAGUGUAGACAAUGGAUAUUAAAAGUGUAGAGUGGCAAGAAAACCCAGAAAGUACCUCAUUUUGAUGGCUCAGAAUGUAGUCAUGGUCCCGUCAGAAAUGAUGAAGUACAGAUUUACAUUUGAAGUCUCCAAUAAGCAGAUAAACGGACAACAGCCAAGGGAAGAUAAUCUUGUUUGGCAUUUCCAAAUAUUGAAGAACACGAACAUGCAACUCAGCAAUACUGGUUGAAACCUGCCCCGUUUCUCUCACACAAUUAGCAAGUUCGCCGAGUGUGACCCACCUCCCAUCAAUGUUGAUUACCUUGACGCUGCAAUACCAGGGGGAAGCGUCUAAAAAACAAAUGGAAUGGAAAAAAAUGCAUGAGAAACUAAGAAAGGGUCGUUUAUUACUCCUUAAUCUUGGAGUUUGAAUCAGUUGUGUGCUUGAUAACUUCAGCGUAAACAACCUCAUCAUCUUCGCUGGGGAUGAGGUCCGAAUAUGGCGGCGGCAACAAGUAUUGUGAUGGGCGGGUAACCCUAACUUUCCGAAUUAGUGAUCUAGGUGUGGCACUGGGCUGCAUACACUCUUUGGGUUGGGGUAAGUGUGGUGUAGCAAAUGUGGGGCUUUGACAAUUCUCUGCAACACAAUAUGAAAGGCUUAGCAAGGAUUGGUGGUGAUAAAAGAGGUUAAACAAUCUAAAGGGUUUCAACCAAAAGUGGUAGAUCAUAAGUUAUCAGUCUGUUUGUGAAUAAUUUAUCAGCAGUCUAGACAGAAGUUAUCAGCAGACAUUGAUAUGGUAGAUCAGUCUGUUGUGAAUAAUUUAUCAGCAGUUUGGACAGAAGUUAUCAGCAGACAUUGAUAAAAGAGGUUAAAUAAUCUAAAGGGUUUCAACCGAAAGUGGUAGAUCAGAAGUUAUCAGUCUGUUUGUGAAUAAUUUAUCAGCAGUUUGGACAGAAGUUGUCAGCAGACAUUGAUAUGGUACGUCACAACUUUUGUUGGGGAACGUAGUAAUUUCAAAAAAAUUCCUACGCACACGCAAGAUCAUGGUGAUGCAUAGCAACGAGAGGGGAGAGUGUUGUCCACGUACCCUCGUAGACCGAAAGCGGAAGCGUUAUCACAACGCGGUUGAUGUAGUCGUACGUCUUCACGAUCCGACCGAUCAAGUACCGAACGCACGGCACCUCCGAGUUCAGCACACGUUCAGCUCGAUGACGUCCCUCGAACUCCGAUCCAGCCGAGUGUUAAGGGAGAGUUUCGUCAGCACGACGGCGUGGUGACGACGAUGAUGUUCUACCGACGCAGGGCUUCGCCUAAGCUCCGCAACGAUAUUAUCGAGGUGUAAUAUGGUGGAGGGGGGCACCGCACACGGCUAAAAUAUCAUAUAUCAAUUGUGUGUCGAGAGGUGCCCCCCUGCCCCCGUAUAUAAAGGAGCAAGGGGGAGGUCGCCGGCCAAGGGAGGAGGCGCGCCAACGGUGGGAGUAGGACUCCUCCUUUCCUUGUUGGAGUAGGAAAAGGGAAGGGAGAAGGAGAAAGAAGGAAGGGGGCGCCCCCCUCCCUAGUCCAAUUCGGACUAGCCCAUGGGGAGGGGUGCGGCCACCCUUUGGGGCCUUUCUCUCCUUUCCCGUAUGGCCCAUUAAGGCCCAAUACGAAUUCCCGUAACUCUCCGGUACUCCAAAAAAUACCCGAAUCACUCGGAACCUUUCCGAAGUCCGAAUAUAGUCGUCCAGUAUAUCGAUCUUUAUGUCUCGGCCAUUUCAAGACUCCUCGUCAUGUCCCCGAUCUCAUCCGGGACUCCGAACUCCUUCGGUACAUCAAAACAUAUAAACUCAUAAUAUAACCGUCAUCGUAACGUUAAGCGUGCGGACCCUACGGGUUCGAGAACUAUGUAGACAUGACCGAGACACCACUCCGGUCAAUAACCAAUAGCGGAACCUGGAUGCUCAUAUUGGUUCCUACAUAUUCUAUGAAGAUCUUUAUCGGUCAGACCGCAUAACAACAUACGUUGUUCCUUUUGUCAUCGGUAUGUUACUUGCCCGAGAUUCGAUCGUCGGUAUCUCGAUACCUAGUUCAAUCUCGUUACUGGCAAGUCUCUUUACUUGUUCCGUAAUACAUCAUCCCGCAACUAACUCAUUAGUCACAAUGCUUGCAAGGCUUAUAGUGAUGUGCAUUACCGAGUGGGCCCAGAGAUACCUCUCCGACAAUCGGAGUGACAAAUCCUAAUCUCGAAAUACGCUAACCCAACAAGUACCUUUGGAAGCACCUGUAGAGAACCUUUAUAAUCACCCAGUUACGUUGUGACGUUUGGUAGCACACAAAGUGUUCCUCCGGUAAACGGGAGUUGCAUAAUCUCAUAGUCAUAGGAACAUGUAUAAGUCAUGAAGAAAGCAAUAGCAACAUAUUAAACGAUCGAGUGCUAAGCUAACGGAAUGGGUCAAGUCAAUCAUGUCAUUCUCCUAAUGAGGUGAUCCCGUUAAUCAAAUGACAACUCAUGUCUAUGGCUAGGAAACAUAACCAUCUUUGAUUAACGAGCUAGUCAAGUAGAGGCAUACUAGUGACACUCUGUUUGUCUAUGUAUUCACACAUGUAUUAUGUUUCCGGUUAAUACAAUUCUAGCAUGAAUAAUAAACAUUUAUCAUGAUAUAAGGAAAUAAAUAAUACUUUAUUAUUGCCUCUAGGGCAUAUUUUCUUCAGUCUCCCACUUGCACUAGAGUCAAUAAUCUAGUUCACAUCGCCAUGUGAUUUAACAUCAAUAGUUCACAUCACCAUGUGAUUAACACCCAUAGUUCACAUCGUCAUGUGAUCAACACCCAAAGGGUUUACUAGAGUCAGUAAUCUAGUUCACAUCGCUAUGUGAUUAACACCCAAAGAGUACUAAGGUGUGAUCAUGUUUUGCUUGUGAGAUAAUUUUAGUCAACGGGUCUGUCACAUUCAGAUCCGUAAGUAUUUUGCAAAUUUCUAUGUCUACAAUGCUCUGCCCGGAGCUACUCUAGCUAAUUGCUCCCACUUUCAAUAUGUAUCUAGACCGAGACUUAGAGUCAUCUAGAUUAGUGUCAAAACUUGCAUCGCCGUAACCCUUUACGACGAACCUUUUGUUACUUCCAUAAUCGAGAAACAUAUCCUUAUUCCACUAAGGAUAAUUUUGACCGCUGUCGAGUGAUCUACUCCUAGAUCACUAUUGUACUCCCUUGCCAAAAUCAGUGUAGGGUAUACAAUAGAUCUGGUACACAACAUGGCAUACUUUAUAAAACCUAUGGCCGAGGCAUAGGGAAUGACUUUCAUUCUUUUUCUAUCUUCUGCUGUGGUCGGGCUUUGAGUCUUACUCAAUUUCACACCUUGUAACACAGGCAAGAAACUCUUUCUUUGACUGUUCUAUUUUGAACUACUUCAAAAUCUUGUUAAGGUAUGUACUCAUUGAAAAAACUUAUCAAGCGUCUUGAUCUAUCUCUAUAGAUCUUGAUGCUCAAUAUGUAAGCAGCUUCACAGAGGUCUUUCUUUGAAAAACUCCUUUCAAAUACUCCUUUAUGCUUUGCAGAAUAAUUCUACAUUAUUUCCGAUCAAUAAUAUGUCAUUCACAUAUACUUAUCAGAAAUGCUGUAGUGCUCCCACUCACUUUCUUGUAAAUACAGGCUUCACCACAAGUCUGUAUAAAACUAUAUCCUUUGAUCAACUUAUCAAAGUGUAUAUCCCAACUCCGAGAUGCUUGCACCAGUCCAUAGAUGGAUCGCUGGAGCUUGCAUAUUUUUGUUAGCACUUUUAGGAUUGACAAAACCUCCUGGUUGCAUCAUAUACAACUCUUCUUUAAUAAAUCCAUUAAGGAAUGCAGUUUUGUUUAUCCAUUUGCCAUAUUUCAUAAAAUGCGGCAAUUGCUAACAUGAUUCAAACAGACUUAAGCAUAGAUACGAGUGAGAAAAUCUCAUCGUAGUCAACACCUUGAACUUUGUCAAAAACCUUUUUCCGACAAGUCUAGCUUUGUAGAUAGUAACACUACUAUCAGCGUCCGUCUUCCUCUUGAAGAUCCAUUUAUUUUCUAUGGCUUGUCGAUCAUCGGGCAAGUCAACCAAAGUCCACACUUUUUUCUCAUACAUGGAUCUCAUCUCAGAUUUCACGGCCUCAAGCCAUUUCGCGGAAUCUGGGCUCAUCAUCGCUUCCACAUAGUUCGUAGGUUCAUCAUGGUCAAAUAACAUGACCUCCAGAACAGGAUUACCUUACCACUCUGGUGUGGAUCUCACUCUGGUUUACCUACGAGGUUUGGUAGUAACUUGAUCUGAAGUUACAUGAUCAUCAUCAUUAACUUCCUCACUAAUUGGUGUAGGAGUCACAGGAACAAAUUUCUGUGAUGAACUACUUUCCAGUAAGGGAGUAGGUAUAGUUACCUCAUCAAGUUCUACUUUCCUCCCACUCACUUCUUUUGAGAGAAACUCCUUCUCUAGAAAGGAUCCAUACUCAGCAACGAAUGUCUUGCCUUCGGAUCUGUGAUAGAAGGUGUACCCAAUUGUCUCCUUUGGGUAUUCUAUGAAGACGCACUUCUCCGAUUUGGGUUUGAGCUUAUCAUGAUGAAACUUUUUCACAUAAGCAUCGCAACCCCAAACUUUAAGAAAUGACAACUUUGUUUUCUUGCCAAACCACAGUUCAUAAGAUGUCGUCUCAACGGAUUUAGAUGGUACCCUAUUUAACGUGAAUGCAGCUGUCUCUAAUGCAUAACCCCAAAACGAUAGUGGUAGAUCGGUAAGAGACAUCAUAUAUCGCACCAUAUCUAAUAAAGCACGAUUACGACGUUCGGACACACCAUUAGCUGUGGUGUUCCAGGUGGCACGAAUUUGUGAAACUAUUCCACAUUGUUUUAAUUGAAGACCAAACUCGUAACUCAAAUAUUUGUCUGCGCGAUCAAAUCAUAGAAACCUUAUUUUCUCGUCACGAUGAUUUUCUACUUCACUCUGAAAUUCUUUGAACUUUUCAAAUGCUUCAGACUUAUGUUUCAUCAAGUAGAUAUACCCAUAUCUGCUCAAAUCAUCUGUGAAGGUCAGAAAAUAAUGAUACCCGCUACGAGCCUCAAUAUUCAUUGGACUACAUACAUCUGUAUGUAUGACUUCCAACAAAUCUGUUGCUCUCUCCAUAGUUCCGGAGAACGGCGUUUUAGUCAUCUUGCCCAUGAGGCAUGGUUCGCAAGUAUCAAGUGAUUCAUAAUCAAGUGAUUCCAAAAUCCCAUCAGUAUGGAGUUUCUUCAUGCGCUUUACACCAAUAUGACCUAAACGGUAGUGCCACAAAUAAGUUGCACUAUCAUUAUUAACUUUGCAUCUUUUGGCUUCAUUAUUAUGAAUAUGUGUAUCACUACGAUCGAGAUCCAACAAACCAUUUUAUUGGGUGUAUGACCAUAGAAGGUUUUAUUCAUGUAAACAGAACAACAAUUAUUCUCUAAUUUAAAUGAAUAACCGUAUUGCAACAAACAUGAUCAAAUCAUAUUCAUGCUCAACGCAAACACCAAAUAACACUUAUUUAGUUUCAACACUAAUCUCGAAAGUAUAGGGAGUGUGCGAUGAUGAUCAUAUUAAUCUUGGAACUACUUCCAACACAUCGUCACUUCGCCUUUUACUAGUCUCUGUUUAUUCUGUAGCUCCCGUUUCGAGUUACUACUCUUAGCAACUGAACCAGUAUCAAAUGCUGAGGGGUUGCUAUAAACACUAGUAAAGUACACAUCAAUAACAUGUAUAUCCAAUAUACCUUUGUUCACUUUGCCAUCCUUCUUAUCCACCAAAUACUUGGGGCAGUUCCGCUUCCAGUGACCAGUCCCUUUGCAGUAGAAGCACUUAGUCUCAGGCUUAGGUACAGACUUGGGCUUCUUCACUUGAGUAGCAACUUGCUUGCCGUUCUUUUUGAAGUUCCCCUUCUAUCCCUUUGCCCUUUUCUUGAAACUAGUGGUCUUGUUAACCAUCAACACUUGAUGCUCUUUCUUGAUUUCUACCUUCGACGAUUUCACCAUCGCGAAGAGCUCGGGAAUUACUUUCGUCAUCCCUUACAUACUAUAGUUCAUCACGAAGUUCUACUAACUUGGUGAUGGUGACUAGAGAAUUCUGUCAAUCACUAUUUUAUCUGGAAGAUUAACUCCCACUUGAUUCAAGCGAUUGUAGUACCCAGACAAUCUGAGCACAUGCUCACUGCUUGAGCUAUUCUCCUCCAUCUUUUAGCUAUAGAACUUGUUGGAGACUUCAUAUCUCUCAACUCGGGUAUUUGCUUGAAAUAUUAACUUCAAGUCCUGGAACAUCUCAUAUGGUCCAUGACGUUCAAAACGUCUUUGAAGUCCCGAUUCUAAGCCGUUAAGCAUGGUGCACUAAACUAUCAAGUAGUCAUCAUAUUGAGCUAGCCAAACGUUCAUAACGUCUGCAUCUGCUCCUGCAAUAGGUCUGUCACCUAGCGGUGCAUCAAGGACAUAAUUCUUCUAUGCAGCAAUGAGGAUAAUCCUCAGAUCACGGAUCGAAUCCGCAUCUUUGCUACUAACAUCUUUCAACAUAAUUUUCUCUAGGAACAUAUCAAAAAUAAACACUGGGAAGCAGCAACGCGAGCUAUUGAUCUACAACAUAAUUUGCAAAAUACUAUCAGGACUAAGUUCAUGAUAAAUUCAAGUUCAAUUAAUCAUAUUACUUAAGAACUCCCACUUAGAUAGACAUCCCUCUAAUCCUCUAAGUGAUCACGUGAUCCAUAUCAACUAAACCAUGUCCGAUCAUCACGUGAGAUGGAGUAGUUUCAACGGUGAACAUCACUAUGUUGAUCAUAUCUACUAUAUGAUUCACGCUCGACCUUUCGGUCUCCGUGUUCCGAGGCCAUAUCUGCAUAUGCUAGGCUCGUCAAGUUUAACCUGAGUAUUCCGCGUGUGCAACUAUUUUGCACCCGUUGUAUUUGAACGUGGAGCCUAUCACACCCGAUCAUCACGUGGUGUCUCAGCACGAAGAACUUUCGCAACGGUGCAUACUCAGGGAGAACACUUUCAUCUUGAAAUUUUUAGUGAGAGAUCAUCUUAUAAUGCUACCGUCAAUCAAAGCAAGAUAAGAUGCAUAAAAGAUUAACAUCACAUGCAAUCAAUAUAAGUGAUAUGAUAUGGCCAUCAUCAUCUUGUGCUUGUGAUCUCCAUCUCCGAAGCACCGUCAUGAUCACCAUCGUCACCGGCUCGACACCUUGAUCUCCAUCGUAGCAUCGUUGUCGUCUCGCCAACUAUUGCUUUUACGACUAUCGCUACCGCUUAGUGAUAAAGUAAAACAAUUACAUGGCGAUUGCAUUUCAUACAAUAAAGCGACAACCAUAUGGCUCCUGCCAGUUGCCGAUAACUUGGUUACAAAACAUGAUCAUCUCAUACAAUAAAAUAUAGCAUCAUGUCUUGACCAUAUCACAUCACAACAUGCCCUGCAAAAACAAGUUAGACGUCCUCUACUUUGUUGUUGCAAGUUUUACGUGGCUGCUACGGGCUUAGCAAGAACCGUUGUUACCUACGCAUCAAAACCACAACGAUAGUUUGUCAAGUUGGUGCUGUUUUAACCUUCGCAAGGACCGGGCGUAGCCACACUCGGUUCAACUAAAGUGAGAGAGACAGACACCCGUCGGUCACCUUUAAGCAACGAGUGCUCGCAACGGUGAAACCAGUCUCGCGUAAGCGUACGCGUAAUGUCGGUCCGGGCCGCUUCAUCUCACAAUACCGUCGAACCAAAGUAUGACAUGCUGGUAAGCAGUAUGACUUAUAUCGCCCACAACUCACUUGUGUUCUACUCGUGCAUAGCAUCAACGCAUAAAACCAGGCUCUGAUGCCACUAUUGGGGAAUGUAGUAAUUUCAAAAAAAUUCCUACGCACACGCAAGAUCAUGGUGAUGCAUAGCAACGAGAGGGGAGAGUGUUGUCCACGUACCCUCGUAGACCGAAAGCGGAAGCAUUAUCACAACGCGGUUGAUGUAGUCGUACGACUUCACGAUCCGACCGAUCAAGUACCGAACGCACGGCACCUCCGAGUUCAGCACACGUUCAGCUCGAUGACGUCCCUCGAACUCCGAUCCAGCCGAGUGUUGAGGGAGAGUUUUGUCAGCACGACGGCGUGGUGACGAUGAUGAUGUUCUACCGAUGCAGGGCUUCGCCUAAGCUCCGCAACAAUAUUAUCGAGGUGUAAUAUGGUGGAGGGGGGCACCGCACAUGGCUAAAAUAUCGUAUAUCAAUUGUGUGUCGAGAGGUGCCCCCCUGCCCCCGUAUAUAAAGGAGCAAGGGGGAGGCCGCCGGCCAAGGGAGGAGGCGCGCCAAGGGGGGAGUCCUACUCCCACCGGGAGUAGGACUCCUCCUUUCCUUGUUGGAGUAGGAAAAGGGAAGGGAGAAGGAGAAAGAAGGAAGGGGGCGCCCCCCUCCCUAGUCCAAUUCGGACUAGCCCAUGGGGAGGGGUGCGGCCACCCUUUGGGGCCUUUCUCUCCUUUCCCGUAUGGCCCAUUAAGGCCCAAUACGAAUUCCCGUAACUCUCCAGUACUCCGAAAAAUACCCGAAUCACUCGGAACCUUUCCGAAGUCCGAAUAUAGUCGUCCAAUAUAUCGAUCUUUACGUCUCGGCCAUUUCAAGACUCCUCGUCAUGUCCCGAUCUCAUCCGGGACUCCGAACUCCUUCGGUACAUCAAAACAUAUAAACUCAUAAUAUAACCGUCAUCAUAACGUUAAGCGUGCGGACCCUACGGGUUCGAGAACUAUGUAGACAUGACCGAGACACCUCUCCGGUCAAUAACCAAUAGCAGAACCUGGAUGCUCAUAUUGGUUCCUACAUAUUCUACGAAGAUCUUUAUCGGUCAGACCGCAUAACAACAUACGUUGUUCCUUUUGUCAUCGGUAUGUUACUUGCCCGAGAUUCGAGCGUCGGUAUCUCGAUACCUAGUUCAAUCUCGUUACCGACAAGUCUCUUUACUCGUUCCGUAAUACAUCAUCCCGCAACUAACUCAUUAGUCACAAUGCUUGCAAGGCUUAUAGUGAUGUGCAUUACCGAGUGGGCCCAGAGAUACCACUCCGACAAUCGGAGUGACAAAUCCUAAUCUCGAAAUACGCCAACCCAACAAGUACCUUUGGAAGCACCUAUAGAGCACCUUUAUAAUCACCCAGUUACGUUGUGACGUUUGGUAGCACACAAAGUGUUCCUCCGGUAAACGGGAGUUGCAUAAUCUCAUAGUCAUAGGAACAUGUAUAAGUCAUGAAGAAAGCAAUAGCAACAUACUAAACGAUCGAGUGCUAAGCUAACGGAAUGGGUCAAGUCAAUCACGUCAUUCUCCUAAUGAGGUGAUCCCGUUAAUCAAAUGACAACUCAUGUCUAUGGCUAGGAAACAUAACCAUCUUUGAUUAACGAGCUAGUCAAGUAGAGGCAUACUAGUGACACUCUGUUUGUCUAUGUAUUCACACAUGUAUUAUGUUUCCGGUUAAUACAAUUCUAGCAUGAAUAAUAAACAUUUAUCAUGAUAUAAGAAAAUAAAUAAUACUUUAUUAUUGCCUCUAGGGCAUAUUUCCUUCAACUUUGGCAUUCUCAAACUAACAAAAAUUGAUUACCUCCUUGGACAACAGCUUUUCCUUUGGCUGAUGGGUUGUUAUGUUCAAAUUCUUCCCACCACAUAAGUACUUCAUCAUCGUCAAGUUCAACAUCGUACACCCGAACACGACGGUCUUUUCAUGAACAUAAAAAAAACAGGUAAGAUUAGGGGCAUGAGAAAAGGGAUAUUAAUGAUAAACAAACCAAAAAAUGCAUAUACAGAAAAUAACACUCAUGAACUUCAUGGAUAAGUACCAUCAAAACAACAAGGGAGGGGGUGUUGUCAAUCCCUUAGUGGGAGAACUAAAAAUUACGAUAUAAUAGAAAGUUACCAAGAUAUAACAAUCAAAUUUACAAGCAUAAUAAUAAUAACAUGUCAGCACACUGAAAAACAAGGGGAUGUUGCCAAAAUAUGUAUUGGGCAAGAUAACGUUGGGAUACAGUGAUAAUUACCAGUACAAACCAAUGGAUGUUACCAGCAAAAAGUAAUGAGUGAAUUAUCAACACAACAGAAAAGGAGUGUUGUGAAAAAACCUUAUUGGGUAAGAUAAUAUGUGGUUAGAGUCAAAUUUAUCAUGCCAAAACAAUGACAUUUAUCAGGACAUCAUUCUUUCAUGCAAAGACAAGAUGAAUUAUCAACACAACAAAAGGACUGUUGUGAAAACCUUAUUGGGUAAGAUAAUAUGUGGUUAGAGUCAAAGUUAUCAUGCCAAAACAAUUGCAUUUAUCAGGACAUCACUUGUUCAGGAAAAAACAAGAAAAAUGUUCAAAAAAUUGUUAUUAACCGUGACCAGAAAAAAAAUGCAGAAGAUGUCAUGCAAAAAACUGGUUAGCUUAGAUCACCAUAGAACAUAUGGUCCAAGACAGGGUAGUGGAGCAUGUUGUCAGAGUAAUGAGAGGUGUUAUCAUCGUAUAGCAAAUCAAGUUACCAGGUAGUUAGAAGGUAUGUUACCAGGUGGGAGAAGGGGAUGUUAUAUUAUGAAAACAACACACAGUCAUGUUGUCAUGGGAGGUAAAAAUAAUACAUUGUAAUCAGUAAUCACAAAUAGGAGGCCACACAUACAGAAAAUAAAUACAAAAGCACAACACACAAAUUAUGGUGAACGAGAAUCACAAAUGGUUCAUUUCACAUAACACAAAAGCAUAAAGAGUCAUAUUACAUUCAUCCACACACGCACACAGACAUAGGGAAAAGGGAAAAAAACUGACUUAAAUACGAAAGAAAGCACAUAAAAACAGUUAAAAAGGUCUUCGAUUAAGUGCCUCCAUCAUUCACUCGUUGCUGUGAAGCGAAGACGCAAAAAGGUCUUCACUUACCGGAGUUGGCAGGCAGCGCCCAAGCAACCGGUUCAAUGUCAAUGCCCACAACAUUCUCCGCAGCAGUAGAGGCAGGCGCUAGGAUCGCGUCUGAAUCAGCUAAUGUUGUAGCUGCUGCAUGUGGUACUUCUGCUGCUUGCGGUGCGGCUACUGAUUCUAGCACUUCUGUUGCUUGUGGUGCUCUUGCUGCUGUUUGUGGUGCAUGAGGUGAUUCAGGAAUACUCUGAACCGCAGCUGCCACUGGUGGAGCCACUGGUGGAUCUUCAGGCGUCACACCAAAAAUGGAGCGAAGUCCGAGAGAGCAGCUUGGUGGGGUGAAAUCACCAUCAACUCUAACUACAGCGUCAUCACUUGCAGCUUCUGGAGUGACAACAACGUCUUCAGCUUGAACUUGAUGAUGCAAUUGGACUUUCUGGGGAUCACCCGCAACUUGAAGUUCAGCAGUUUCAUCUUGAGCAUCAGAAUUGACAGCUGGGACUGUAGUAUACAAGUACACUUACCAUCAGAAAUAUACUAUAGUUACCAUCAUAAAAAAGUAAGAGUUACCACCAGAAAAAUGAUAUAGUUACCAUCAGAACAGUCCAUACCUAGAGCUAUUUUUCCUGCAUCAACACCAAUUACUACAACAGCCACUCCGGCUUCAGGGGGCACGGACACUUGGGCAGCUUCCGUGACGGGUUCAGUAACAUGUUGAGCUGCAUCAAAUGAGAGGACAAAAAAAGUUAUCAUAGUGAACAAACUAGAUAUGUAUGUUUAACAUCAGACUAGUUAUCAUUCAUGCAUACCAGUGUCCACGACAGGAGUUUCAUUAGCAUGAAUUUCAUCAUUAACAGCAGCAGUGGCGAGCUCUUCAACAACAACAGUGACGGUGGCCACUGUAUCCAGUUGUUCUACAGAUUCAGCAGCAUCAGAUGCAACUUCGAGGGCAGCUGCUGCUUCGACGGACGCUAGCGAAGAGCCCAUUACAAUAGGUUGUGAAACGACAACAGGAGACGUCAACGUGGGCUGAUCUUCAAGAUCCACAACCUCUAUCGGCUGUGAAGAUGCCGCUCUUAGUCGAGGAGAAGACCUAGUCUUGGUAAAACGCACCUUUUUAGCGGCAAUAAUUCCACUUGACUUCCUGCAAAAAAGCUAAGUUGUGAGAUGUAGUGUUAAAAUGAACAGACACAAUUAGCUAUUUAUAAGAAGUAGCAGGUGUGAAUCCUAAAAAGAAAAGUUACCAUCUAAAAAAAGCGUAGAUGCGUAGAAACAAGGAGACAGUUACAGGUUAUCAGUGUAAUACUACUAAAAUUACAAGACAAACAGUUCAAAACUACCAUGCAAAAUAAUAAUGAAAAUCUGCAACAUAUUUUUAACAAAAGAUAAUCAUGAUGAAUAAUGAACCAGCUAAAAAUAUACUACACAGAUGUAUAUACUGUACAAAAGGGUAGCUAAUUAUAAUAAGUAGCAAGUAUGAAAUCUAAAGAAAAGAAACUGAAAUUCUUGAUAUAUUAUGCAACAUGAAAUGAAUAAAAAAGACAAAAAAAA